UCGGGGUACUCGAGUGGCGAACGGGUGAGUAACACGUGGGUGAUCUGCCCUGCACUUUGGGAUAAGCCUGGGAAACUGGGUCUAAUACCGAAUAGGACCACGCGCUUCAUGGUGUGUGGUGGAAAGCUUUUGCGGUGUGGGAUGGGCCCGCGGCCUAUCAGCUUGUUGGUGGGGUAAUGGCCGACCAAGGCGACGACGGGUAGCCGGCCUGAGAGGGUGACCGGCCACACUGGGACUGAGAUACGGCCCAGACUCCUACGGGAGGCAGCAGUGGGGAAUAUUGCACAAUGGGCGCAAGCCUGAUGCAGCGACGCCGCGUGAGGGAUGACGGCCUUCGGGUUGUAAACCUCUUUCAAUAGGGACGAAGCGCAAGUGACGGUACCUAUAGAAGAAGCACCGGCCAACUACGUGCCAGCAGCCGCGGUAAUACGUAGGGUGCGAGCGUUGUCCGGGAAUUACUGGGCGUAAAGAGCUCGUAGGUGGUUUGUCGCGUUGUUCGUGAAAACUCACAGCUUAACUGUGGGCGUGCGGGCGAUACGGGCAGACUAGAGUACUGCAGGGGAGACUGGAAUUCCUGGUGUAGCGGUGGAAUGCGCAGAUAUCAGGAGGAACACCGGUGGCGAAGGCGGGUCUCUGGGCAGUAACUGACGCUGAGGAGCGAAAGCGUGGGGAGCGAACAGGAUUAGAUACCCUGGUAGUCCACGCCGUAAACGGUGGGUACUAGGUGUGGGUUCCUUCCUUGGGAUCCGUGCCGUAGCUAACGCAUUAAGUACCCCGCCUGGGGAGUACGGCCGCAAGGCUAAAACUCAAAGGAAUUGACGGGGGCCCGCACAAGCGGCGGAGCAUGUGGAUUAAUUCGAUGCAACGCGAAGAACCUUACCUGGGUUUGACAUGCACAGGACGCCGGCAGAGAUGUCGGUUCCCUUGUGGCCUGUGUGCAGGUGGUGCAUGGCUGUCGUCAGCUCGUGUCGUGAGAUGUUGGGUUAAGUCCCGCAACGAGCGCAACCCUUGUCCUAUGUUGCCAGCGGGUUAUGCCGGGGACUCGUAGGAGACUGCCGGGGUCAACUCGGAGGAAGGUGGGGAUGACGUCAAGUCAUCAUGCCCCUUAUGUCCAGGGCUUCACACAUGCUACAAUGGCCGGUACAAAGGGCUGCGAUGCCGUGAGGUGGAGCGAAUCCUUUCAAAGCCGGUCUCAAGUUCGGAUCGGGGUCUGCAACUCGACCCCGUGAAGUCGGAGUCGCUAGUAAUCGCAGAUCAGCAACGCUGCGGUGAAUACGUUCCCGGGCCUUGUACACACCGCCCGUCACGUCAUGAAAGUCGGUAACACCCGAAGCC
RNAcentral lists this ribosomal RNA (1335 nucleotides) under Mycobacterium sp. DWMJ-1509A4. RNAcentral's name for it is "bacterial SSU rRNA". It matches the Rfam family "Bacterial small subunit ribosomal RNA", at positions 82 to 1428 of the family's 1533-position model. Lineage: Bacteria; Bacillati; Actinomycetota; Actinomycetes; Mycobacteriales; Mycobacteriaceae. The record is from RNAcentral.